CAGCCUGGGAGCCUCGCACUUUCCCUGGAUGCCUAACGAGGAGGAAUUCCUGUCUCCUUGGAUUGGUAUGGAGGUUGGGGAAUAAGAACUAAACCCUAGGAAGACUUUUACAAGGUAUUUGACACAAAGUAAGUGCUCAAUAAAACCUCACUGUUAGCAAUACAGUCUUGUUACUGUGAACUUUCAGAUUUUUACUUUGAAAAAAUAUUGAGAGAUUGGCAUCAUAUGGUUGCAUAUACCUUCUUAAUAACCCAUCUUUAUUAGCUAAGAACGGUCUGUUUCCUCCCCUCCUAAAUGGCUAAGGAUAAACACACAUUUCCUAGCCAGGUCAUUGGCCCCAGAACUGUUUUGGGAGCCACAUGGUAAUAGUACCCCUCACACUUGGGAGGACUAGCUCCCCUUUGUGUGUGGGUUGUGAACCCGGAGCUUUGACUUAUGAUGGGGGAAGUCUGGGGUACAUGACAUGUGGCCACAUCACUGAGGUCGAGGCCAUUGCUCCCGGGCAGGCACGCUGUGCCAGCUAAGGCACUGUGUCAACACCUGAGGGUGCACACCACACCAUCCUCUGAGUCAUCCUGUGCCCUGUCUUACAGAUGAGUAACCUGGGACUGGACUCAAAAGUCUUUAUCAGCAAGGAUCUUGCCAGGGUCACUCAGCCUCCAAGAGCCCUGGAAGUCUCAGCUUGUCUCCAUGACAAAUCAGCACAAUGGGGUUUCUUGGAUGGGCUAAUAGAAUGGAGUCCAGGAGACUCAGUGGACCUCUGAUCACCUCAGAUUUUCUCUCUCUCUCUCUCCCCCUCUUUCCCUCUCACCUUUCCUCCCUCCCUCCCCCAGC
RNAcentral lists this long non-coding RNA (834 nucleotides) under Cricetulus griseus (Chinese hamster). RNAcentral describes it as "lncRNA (ENSCGRG00015035598.1)". Lineage: Eukaryota; Metazoa; Chordata; Mammalia; Rodentia; Cricetidae. The record is from RNAcentral.